GCGCAAAUGAAGCGUUGUUUUUGCAGUUAUUGAUUUCACUUGUGUGGAUUGCAGACGCUAUCUAGAAAGAUAGACACAAUGGUCUAAAUUGUGCUACAGGCUUGAGAAAGAUGAGGGCUUACAUAGCUUUACAGCACAUGAUGUGAAUGCAAAUAUGUCGAUAUAUUGUCGAUUGAUGUUCCCAACACAGAAGAAAAGUUAAAAAUGGCAGUUUUGAUUAUUUCAAAAACUCUUGCAAUUGAAAUAUUUCCCGAGAUGUGCGAUGCCAUGAUGGCUAACAUCACGGUCGCCUACACACAAUCCACAUUCUACUGAAAUCAUACAUGCUGUGAGUACCAAUAGCUAUUUUGUUGAGUAAAAAUGAUUUUUGCCUACCGAUGAGAUUUAAUAUUAACAAUGUGUACUUAUAACCAAUUACCGGCGAAUAAAAUUGAUGAGUUUUUGAUACAUAAUGGAAUUUAACACAGGUCAAUUAAAUGAAUUUACUCGAAGCGCUUGCGC
Molecule: long non-coding RNA, 501 nt
Filed under: Neodiprion pinetum (white pine sawfly)
Lineage: Eukaryota; Metazoa; Arthropoda; Insecta; Hymenoptera; Diprionidae
Description: uncharacterized LOC124222166
Source: RNAcentral